This 718-nucleotide long non-coding RNA is filed under the name Marmota monax (woodchuck). The record is from RNAcentral. Lineage: Eukaryota; Metazoa; Chordata; Mammalia; Rodentia; Sciuridae.
CCCUUUUCCCUUUUCCUGGAUUUUAGGAUAUGAAGUUGCCAGUGCAUCAGAUUUCCUUCCGGUGCUGAACUCCCAGUCCUUGUGGGGGUUGGGGCCCUAAAGGAGUGUGGGAGAAGGAUCUGAAGAAGAACCAGGGGGUCAAGUCUCCACUGAAAGUCCAUUAAAGCAGUUUUUUAAAUGCCAAAAAGCAAUUAACCCAUAGUUCACUCGGAGAGACCUUAAAAUGCCUGGGAUUUCAAGGGUUAAUCUGUUUUUUCUUUAUCUUUAUUUUCCUGACUUUUGCUAUUAUUGUGUUGGGUUUGGUCUUUUGGGAAUGUGGUGUCUAAAGACAGAUAGGGGAGGAAAACAGAGUGCGUAGUGUCCUGGGGCCUUGUGAAAGGAGCAGAGAGGGUAGAUGUAAUUUUCCCAUACCAUGGCCUUGGCUUCUAUUGUAGUGCGCUACUUACAGAGGAGGAAGGACAGACUGCCCUGUUGGUAUGGUGCAUACUUUAUCAUAACUGCAUCUCUUUUUAACCAAACUCAGUAGCUGCCUAUGAUGCCCCAUCCCCAAGGCUAUGAAGGAUUUGGUGAUUUCUUGUUACUAGAUUUGAAACCUGAGUGCAAGUAUGUGUGUGUGUGUGUGUGGUGUGUGUGUGUUGUGUGUGUGCGCACGUGCGCGUGCGUGUGCACGCCCACACUUAUUAAAUGGAAAGACCUUAAGCAAUCAAGAAUUUACUGG